RNAcentral lists this long non-coding RNA (659 nucleotides) under Cyanistes caeruleus (blue tit). Its description in RNAcentral is "lncRNA (ENSCCEG00000005401.1)". Lineage: Eukaryota; Metazoa; Chordata; Aves; Passeriformes; Paridae. The record is from RNAcentral.
AUGCAGAUGGUUUGACCUCGUGGCAGAGCAGCUGUCCCAGAUGAGGGGGUCCCCCUGAGAAGGAAGUAAAGCCGGAUAGCAGCGGGGAAGGCGAAGCAGGUGGAAGGCUGCCUCCUGAUGCUGUGCUGAGGCCCCCUCACUGACCUGCCAAGAGACCCGGUUUGCUUCUCUGGCGACCCCUGCGACGACGGCAUCCGCCUUGGAGCGUGGCCGAAGUGUGCGGCCCGAGGACCUGGGAAGUUCCUAAGAGACGGUGAUGAUACUUGUCUGAGACAACAGCCCGGUGAGAGAAGAACUUCCCAGACAGCGAGGUGGCUUUGUUUGGCUCUCGACCGGCCUCUCGCCGUGACUCACAUCUUCAGCCCUCUGAGAGAUAAGUGGAGCCCACAGAGGGGAUCAAAGCAGGGCGAUGCAGACAGAUUGACCUCAUGGCAGAGCACUGUCCCAGAUGAGGGGGUCCCCCUGAGAAGGUCGGUCACGGUUUUACUUUGCAGCAGGGCUGGAACCGGUCACUGUGUUACAGCUCUGCUCUUUGUAUUUAUUUCUAGGAAGUAAAGCCGGAUAGCAGCGGGGAAGGCGAAGCAGGUGGAAGGUGAGCCUCGGUUGGUGGAGAGAAGCAGUUGUUCUUGCUGGGGUCGCAGUUUCUGCUACAACUCCAA